CAGUAGUUUGUCACUUGUGUCUUAUGAUGAAGCUUCAUAGGGCAGAUUCUGAGCUGAGAAAUUAAAUUUCUCUCCACUGAUACUUGCUGUAUGCCAUCUGAAGACACUAUACAUUGC
This is a small nucleolar RNA of Tympanuchus pallidicinctus (lesser prairie-chicken), 117 nucleotides long. RefSeq annotates it as small nucleolar RNA SNORD90. The record is from RefSeq and is a predicted model, not a curated record. Lineage: Eukaryota; Metazoa; Chordata; Aves; Galliformes; Phasianidae. The transcript has a single exon.